AUUGAACGCUGGCGGCAGGCCUAACACAUGCAAGUCGAAUGGUAACAGGAAACAGCUUGCUGUUUCGCUGACGAGUGGCGGACGGGUGAGUAAUGUCUGGGAAACUGCCUGAUGGAGGGGGAUAACUACUGGAAACGGUAGCUAAUACCGCAUAACGUCGCAAGACCAAAGAGGGGGACCUUCGGGCCUCUUGCCAUCAGAUGUGCCCAGAUGGGAUUAGCUAGUAGGUGGGGUAACGGCUCACCUAGGCGACGAUCCCUAGCUGGUCUGAGAGGAUGACCAGCCACACUGGAACUGAGACACGGUCCAGACUCCUACGGGAGGCAGCAGUGGGGAAUAUUGCACAAUGGGCGCAAGCCUGAUGCAGCCAUGCCGCGUGUAUGAAGAAGGCCUUCGGGUUGUAAAGUACUUUCAGCGGGGAGGAAGGGAGUAAAGUUAAUACCUUGGCUCAUUGACGUUACCCGCGGAAGAAGCACCGGCUAACUCCGUG
Molecule: ribosomal RNA, 490 nt
Filed under: uncultured bacterium
Lineage: Bacteria
Description: partial 16S ribosomal RNA
Rfam family: Bacterial small subunit ribosomal RNA
Source: RNAcentral